Molecule: RNA transcript, 3385 nt
Organism: Ricinus communis (castor bean)
Lineage: Eukaryota; Viridiplantae; Streptophyta; Magnoliopsida; Malpighiales; Euphorbiaceae
Gene name: probable inactive histone-lysine N-methyltransferase SUVR2
Exons: 8
Source: RefSeq, a predicted model, not a curated record
AAAACAAUAGUUCACUCCGAAAAGCAACUCACUGUCUGUGCCGGUGAGCUUAUUUUUCAAAUACCUCUUUACAUGAUCGGAAAUCGAAAAGCUAUCUCGUUCGCCUUCUCCACAUUGUUACCUUUCUUUUUUAAAUAUUCAAUAAUACACAUUGUGCUUGUUAGGUUUUCGUUUUCGUCAUUUUCAAUUUUCUUUUUGUUGCUUGAAUUUCUGCUUGGUUGCCGAGAAAACGUAGGGAAGCAAGGUCGAACAGGGGAAACUAAGCUGCAUGUUGGUGCUCGAGUCUUUUUUUAGCUUUACUUGACACGUGACUCGUGUAGCGAGUAAACUUUGAUUAAAAUUAUGGCUUUUACGUUUUCGAAGUGUCAUUUGGGGGAUUCUUGUUUUAUUCAAAUUGAUGUUUAAGUUUUGAUGGCGUAUUUAUGUAUUUGUAUAUCUCUCCUAGUGUCUUACUGUGUGUUAGGUUUGUUGAUACAGAAAGAGCCUAACAGAUUGUUGACUUAAGAUACUUUGCGUUUCGAAGUGUAACUAAGCUCUAUGUUUUUGUCAAUACUUCUAAAGGUGUUAUUUGUGAGCUAAUUAUUGUCAUUAAUUGUGAAUUCUGCUGAUAUAUUUUUCACUUUAGGCUUCAUUUGCUUAAAGGUGAUGUUUGUGAUUUUCUUGCAAGCCUAGUUAACUACUAUUGAGUAAUGGCACCAAAUCCCAGAGUUGUGAGUGCCUUUCGUGCAAUGAAGGCUAUUGGUAUAAAUGAAGAUAAAGUGAAACCAGUUCUAAAGAAGCUUCUGAAAUUAUAUGAUAAAAACUGGGAACUUAUUGAAGAAGAAAAUUAUAGAGUUCUAGCUGAUGCCAUAUUUGAUGAUGAUGAUUCCAAGGGACCAAAUUUUGGGGAAGAAGCUGAGGUGCAUGAUGAACCUGAACAGCCACUUAAACGACUGCGGUCAAGAGGCCAAGAAGAGCAAGCUUCUGCAUCUCCUAAUAACUGUAAUCUGAUAGCAGGUGGACCUCCAUUGAAAAAGCCUAAAGUAGAGGAAGAAGCAGUACGGGGCACAAAUUCUCUGCAAAGAUCACCAGAUAUGAGAAAGUCUCAACAUGGGUCUGUUUCAACCCAGAAUCAUUAUUCACAGUCACCUCAGGUGCGGCACUCAUACAAGGGAAAAGAACCUAUGUUGCCUCAUGUUGCUUCCGAAGAAAAGAGACCUUCUGUGGAGAGACCAUCUCAUGCAGUGCAGAUUAGAGAUCCUGUAGUUGAUCGAGGCAAACAAAAGAUGCCUGAAUCUUAUGCUUUAAUUAAGCCUAAAGAUGAGCCUUUUACUGACGACUUGCCUCCCACAGACCUAGAGGCUCCUCUUGCAAUGAUCCAGCCACCUCUUGCAAUGAUCCAGCCAGAUUCUACUGUUAUGAGUCUGUCACAAGGAAAGCCGGAUGAUCAGGAGUCUCCUGCAUCCCAUAGUGGAGCAGAAGAAAAUGGAUGUGAUAGUCUUCGAGCGUCAUCAAGUGAAAAACGAAUCAACUCUGAGCUUGCAGCUGUUCAAGAUGGAUCUCCUGCUAACUUAGAGGUUGCCUCCUCAUCAUUGGGAGAGGUGAAGAUUUCUUUGAGCUGCGACUCUAUGCUUGGAAGACCAAAUUUUCAUAUGCCUAGUCAAGAUGAAUUUCUGAAAUCGAUGCAGGAGAAAUGUCUCCGGUCAUAUAAAAUUCUUGAUCCUAACUUUUCUGUCUUGCAAAUGCUGAAAGAUAUGUGUGAGUGCUUCCUGGAAUUGGGAACUGAUUCCUCUCAUGAAUCGCAGGAAAGGUUAAUGAAUGUAACAACAACUGUUGAUGUAUUGAAGAAAUCAGCUGCCUGCUGUGGUUUGGGUAAUGGAUCAAUUGAUGCACGUAGUUGUACUGAGGUGUCUGUACAUCAGAUUGCAAGGCAACUACAAUCCUUCACUGAGGGUACACACACUAGUGCCAAUGGUUCUGUUGAAAUUGACAGAGGACAUGAGUUGAGAGACCCCAAAUCACAUAGUUUGGUGGUUGUUCCACAGCAUCAACUCACUUCUGAAGAGAUAAGAUCUAUUCAUGAUUGUAAUGACAUAACUAAGGGCGAAGAGUUGGUUGAGAUCUCAUGGUUAAAUGAAAUCAACAAUGAGUGUCCUUCAUCUUUUAACUACAUUCCUGAAAACCUGAUUUUUCAAGAUGCUCAUGUGAAGUUCACUCUUUCUCAAAUUAUAGCUGAAGAUUGCUGUUCUACAUGUAUUGGUGAUUGUCUGUCCUCAACAACAGUUUGUGUUUGUGCUGCUGAAACUGGAGAUAAGUUUGCAUAUACAUCAGAGGGCCUCCUGAGGGAGGAUUUCUUAGAGGACUGUAUCUCUAUGACUCGUGAUCCUCACCGGCAGUGCCUCUCCUAUUGCAAAGCUUGCCCACUUGAAAGAUCAAAAAAUGAGGAGAUCUUAGAACCAUGCAAAGGUCACUUGAAAAGGAAACAUAUAAAAGAAUGUUGGAGAAAAUGUGCCUGCCAUAGGCUGUGUGGAAAUCGAGUUGUGCAGCGAGGUAUGGUAUGCAAAUUGCAGGUUUUCUUUACACCUGAAGGAAAGGGAUGGGGCCUUAGAACCCUGGAAAAGCUGCCAAAAGGAACCUUUGUGUGUGAGUAUGUUGGAGAAAUACUAACCAACAAAGAGUUGCAUGAGAGAAACAUGCAAAGAAUAAGAGGCGCCACUAGUGAUUUUCAUACUUAUCCAGUUUUAUUAGAUGCAUAUUGGUGCUUGAAAGGAGCUGUGAAGAACGAAGAAGCGCUUUGUUUGGAUGCAACAUUCUAUGGAAAUGUUGCUAGGUUUAUCAAUCAUAGCUUGCCUUCUUCACGACCAGAGAUGUGGAUGCAAUGGAAGAGCUAACUUGGGAUUAUGGCAUUGACUUUAAUGACAAUGAUCAUCCUGUGGAGGUAUUCCGGUGCCUGUGUGGCAGCAAGUUCUGCAGGAACAUGAAACGUUCAAAUAGGUCUAAGUCUGCAUCAAGAUGACUAGUACAUGGAGAUUAUGAGACUUGGACAUUUUUGUUGUUAUCUCUCCCCCCCACUUGACAAGGAGGAAAAGUUCAUGAAAUGGAUUUUGCCAAACUCCGAGUGCUUCUAGGGGAUUUGCUGUUAACUGGUGCAGAUUAGGUUUAUCCUGUAAAGCCCGCGGCUAAGUUAUACUGCACAUGUAAUGGAUGGAUAUGUACAGAAUGCAUGUCAACUGCCUAUGAGUUCUAUUUUGUAGCUGAAUCUUAGACAGUUUAAUUGCUUAGUAUUUGUACCCAUUUCUUUUUUGGGGCGUGGGAACUGGGAAUUUUGGUUGUUGGUGUUAACACCAGCUCUUCUGUCCUUGCCAUGCAUGAUAAAUGAAACAACCAAGUGGAGUUUUAAGUGUUA